Drosophila simulans is the source of this 465-nucleotide long non-coding RNA. RefSeq lists it as uncharacterized. The record is from RefSeq and is a predicted model, not a curated record. Lineage: Eukaryota; Metazoa; Arthropoda; Insecta; Diptera; Drosophilidae. The transcript has 2 exons.
AGCCGGCGGGUGAAUAUACUAAAAGUGGUCUGGGGUAUUACUUUUAAUUAAAACACUGCAUUGUCGCAAAUAUUUUAAUAGCCUCUUUAUUAAGCUAUAUGAGCGUUGAUUGCCAUUAUGAAUGUAUAUGCAAUAUAUUGCAUUAGAAAAUGGUAAUUAUAUUGCCAUUUGGUACUGUCGUAUAAAAUACUAAAACUUCCAAUGCUACCCAUCAGCUAUCAUAAGUAACUUGGCAGCAUUGCGUAUCGUGUUCAUUUGAAAUUUCGAAACACAAAACUUUAUAAAUAAAUCCAAUCGAAAUUAGCUCGGGAUGAAAAUGCCUGAAGGAGUUUCGAUUGCUCUUGCAGACCGCGCUUGAAUGACAAAAUGCAUUAGUUGGUUUCGAAAUAUUAAUGAUUGGCUAACAAUUAUGAUACAUUAUUUAUACACAAUUAAAAAAGGCAUCGCUGAUUUGCACUACACAAA